GUGCCAGCAGCCGCGGUAAUACAGAGGUCUCAAGCGUUGUUCGGAUUCAUUGGGCGUAAAGGGUGCGUAGGCGGCGGUGCAAGUCGGGUGUGAAAUCCUAAGGCUCAACCUUGGAAAUGCACUCGAUACUGCGCCGCUCGAGCGCUGGAGAGGAGACUGGAAUUCACGGUGUAGCAGUGAAAUGCGUAGAUAUCGUGAGGAAGGCCGGUGGCGAAGGCGAGUCUCUGGACAGUUGCUGACGCUGAGGCACGAAGGCCAGGGGAGCAAACGGGAUUAGAAACCCCCGUAGUCC
This 292-nucleotide ribosomal RNA is filed under the name uncultured bacterium. Its description in RNAcentral is "partial 16S ribosomal RNA". It matches the Rfam family "Bacterial small subunit ribosomal RNA", at positions 505 to 796 of the family's 1533-position model. The record is from RNAcentral.